This 288-nucleotide ribosomal RNA is filed under the name uncultured bacterium. RNAcentral describes it as "partial 16S ribosomal RNA". It matches the Rfam family "Bacterial small subunit ribosomal RNA", at positions 773 to 1060 of the family's 1533-position model. The record is from RNAcentral.
GUGGAUUAGAUACCCUGGUAGUCCACGCCGUAAACGAUGAUAACUAGCUGUCCGGGCACUUGGUGCUUGGGUGGCGCAGCUAACGCAUUAAGUUAUCCGCCUGGGGAGUACGGUCGCAAGAUUAAAACUCAAAGGAAUUGACGGGGGCCUGCACAAGCGGUGGAGCAUGUGGUUUAAUUCGAAGCAACGCGCAGAACCUUACCAGCCUUUGACAUCCCGCGCUACAACCAGAGAUGGUUGGUUCCCUUCGGGGACGCGGUGACAGGUGCUGCACGGCCGUCGACAGCU